RNAcentral lists this non-coding RNA (173 nucleotides) under Pseudoalteromonas ruthenica. Its description in RNAcentral is "Lysine sequence". It matches the Rfam family "Lysine riboswitch aptamer". Rfam says of the family: Riboswitches are metabolite binding domains within certain messenger RNAs that serve as precision sensors for their corresponding targets. Allosteric rearrangement of mRNA structure is mediated by ligand binding, and this results in modulation of gene expression. This family includes riboswitches that sense lysine in a number of genes involved in lysine metabolism, including lysC. Lineage: Bacteria; Pseudomonadati; Pseudomonadota; Gammaproteobacteria; Alteromonadales; Pseudoalteromonadaceae. The record is from Rfam by way of RNAcentral.
UGUCGCAGAAGAGGUGCGAUAGCUAGGUAGUAAACGUGAGGCCGACGACAGCCUUUGAUCGUUUAUGAGGGAGACUAUCGCCGAGGAAGUGCAUUGUGCGUCGCAAUGGCUUUCGGUUCUUGAGGCUGAAUCCUCGGAACUGUCACCUGUAGGGGUGGAGGGCUUCUGGCAAU